Alligator mississippiensis (American alligator) is the source of this 255-nucleotide long non-coding RNA. RefSeq lists it as uncharacterized. The record is from RefSeq and is a predicted model, not a curated record. Lineage: Eukaryota; Metazoa; Chordata; Crocodylia; Alligatoridae. The transcript is spliced from 3 exons.
GUUUUUAGCACUGUCUGUUUCCAGCAUGAUCUCACAGUUCUUAUCCCAGCGUCUAAGGCAGGAAUACUGAGUCCCUAGAAAAAUCAUGAAGCAGAUCUUCAAGGAAUCCAUCUCAAAUCACUUGCAGGAGAAGACGAUGAUUAAGAACAGCCAGCAUGGAUUCACCAAGGUGGGAGCUGAAGAUGGAAGGCUAUCUCCCUGUGGGUCCAUGAGAACCUUUGUGAGCUGUGCUGAGUAGCUCUUUGAUGUGUAGAU